GGAGGCUGACGGCGGACGGACCCCUCGCCAACCCGGUCAGAUCCGGAAGGAAGCAGCCGUAACGAGCUUCGGUUCGGGUCGUUGCUCAGUCUCCCAC
This 97-nucleotide signal recognition particle RNA is filed under the name Rhodospirillales bacterium. RNAcentral describes it as "signal recognition particle sRNA small type". It matches the Rfam family "Bacterial small signal recognition particle RNA". From Rfam's summary of the family: The signal recognition particle (SRP) is a universally conserved ribonucleoprotein involved in the co-translational targeting of proteins to membranes. Archaeal SRP consists of a 7S RNA and homologues of the eukaryotic SRP19 and SRP54 proteins. Lineage: Bacteria; Pseudomonadati; Pseudomonadota; Alphaproteobacteria; Rhodospirillales. The record is from RNAcentral.